UCUGCUUGACAUGAGCUGACGUGACACAGUUGUGACAGUUUAUGUCGACAUGGGGCGCUCAGUAUAUUUUUUUUCUGCUGUAUUUUCACAUCUUGCUCCCGUUUGUUAGCACAACUUAUGUAUCUUACAUUAAAUUCUAAGAAGAGAACGCAUCCACAACUUUAAUCAUUACAAAUACUUUACAGUCACCUGUCUUUCACUCUGGACAGAGCAUCUAACAGUGAGAAGCUCGUAUUUGUUCUUGCUUAGUUUGUCAAUUUUAUAUUUGUAGCCAGAUCUCGUAACGUUUGAGAAUGAGCCACAUUUAAGUACGUAUUGAUUUACUGUCGCUGAUACACAUCCCGUGUAUCCAUUGUUUCGACCCUUAAGUAACUAAUCACGGGCAACGCACUCGAAACGGACUGCGGGUCGCUCCGCAGGUAACUCUGCCAGCUUGGCUGUUUGGCAGCGCUUUCAGUCGACUGGCUUUGUAUACCUGGGGACGGGUUUUUUCGUUAAUACUUCCGUUUUGAAGAUACACUGCCCAAUGCGAGAUUUUCUGCAAGCAGAGCGUCCAAUUAAAAAGUCUGUUGGCAUUUGGUCCAAUGGCUGCAAACAUAGGGCGUGUCAUGUGGGAAUGGCGUCGACCGAGUGACUGGUUGCCACAUCAUCGGGUAACAUCAUCAUUAAUGUCGUCCUUUCCGUGGCGCAUUCAUUCAUUAACGCUUUUCAUGUGCAUUACUUGUCAAUUAAUCAUACGACACAUUGUACCGAAUCCGUAUAUUCCGGCGCUCAGCGCUGAAUUCACUGAAAAAUAAUCCUCCUUGCAUGCAUAUUUAUAAGCAUUUUAUUUAAGGACAUCAUCGAAAUAAUACUCGACUUUUGGUAACUGCCAA
Molecule: non-coding RNA, 875 nt
Organism: Drosophila virilis
Lineage: Eukaryota; Metazoa; Arthropoda; Insecta; Diptera; Drosophilidae
Source: RefSeq, a predicted model, not a curated record